GUGGGGAGAGAGGAGGGGCGAGGAGGUAAGGAGUAGUUAUGUCGGUGCGCGGUGGUGGGAGGAUGUCAGGAGGGGGGUGGGGCGUCGGUCCUCCACUCACGAGCAGCACUCCUUCGGUGUCCUCCUCGAGUUGGCCCGCAGCGGCCGGUCUCUUCCUCCUCUCCACGCCUACGGUCGGUCCCUCCGUCUAGCCCAGCGGAGGUAGCAGUUAUGUCGGCGGCGCGGUGGUGGGUGGAGACAAGUACUCCUUCGGAGUCCUCCUCCGCUCGGGAGUAACGCUCCUUCGGCGUCUUCCUCCUUGAGUUGACACACAGCGGCCGGCCUCUUCCUCCUCCCCGCGCCUACGGUUGGUCCCUCCGCAUAGCUGAGCGGAAGCGCCAACCUUUCCCACGCGACACAGGUAGAACCAAGACCACUUAACUAAACCCCUUGAGAACUUUAGACAAAGAACAUAUAACCGGUACCAUUAAGAAGUGGACUGUAAGACGUUACCGAAGGUUGGUCCAUUAAUCAAGUGUACCCGACGGUAAAGGGUAGGGAAGGAUGAAAUUAUGUAUACGAAUCCGGUUAACUAACGAAUAAGAUCCAAACAAUCAAACACAUAGUAAGUACGGUACCAUGAAAAACAACGAGAGACACAAUCCAAUGAAUCUUGUCAUAUCAGUUUACGCUUUUUUAUAUUAGUCCAACCCUUUUCACCUUUCACAGGUAAAUAAUCCUUGAUUGAUUAAUAAGAAUACUACGUAAAAGCGCAUGGUACGACGUUACGACGUAAUCAAAAACCGGCUUUGAAGAACGAAUCUAUACCGGUAAAAUAAAAACGAUGUGGUACCAAUCAAUCGACUCGAUAAAUUUAUGUUAAAAUCCCAAAAGAACAACGACGAUAAGGAGUACCUAUAAGUUGUCCAUUGAAGCGUGGAUUACAGUUAUCCUACGAAUAGCCACUGCUCCCUUUACUUUCUUCCUACGUUACCUUAAACAUGAUCUUCAAAGAGGUACUACCGUGUAAGGUGGAUCUUUCUCGUAGUUCCGGCUGCUGGGACAAAAACAAGAUAUCCGUAGAGAAGAUGCUUACUUCGAGGUCGGAUUCGUUCCCGUACCAAACAUCUAAUAAAUAGACGAAAUACACACAGUCUUCUCCGUCGGAUAACGAACUAAAACAUGCGAACAAGACAUUUGAUUUGAAUCGUUACUUCGUAACUGUUAACACAAACAACAGUAGAGGGUCCAAAACUCUCGACUACUACUAAGAUAAUUUUCAGGGAACAACGGACCUUGUAAAUACAGAGACGUUUGUUGUAUUGAUUCCAAUAUACCAAAGGUUACACUGAUUUCUAGAUUUAAGAACAACCCACAUCAAAGAUUUCGUGCCUCAACGACUUUUUACCUUUCUAAAAGUUGCCCGGUACUAAAAGUAACCCUGAAACACGAUGGUUUAAUACACAUAUAUGUAGAGUAACAUGUAUUGUUAGGUGAUAAAAAACGACGAUUUCCCCUAAUCUAAACAAUGGUAUACACAAACGGG
RNAcentral lists this ribosomal RNA (1525 nucleotides) under Triticum aestivum (bread wheat). RNAcentral describes it as "partial small subunit ribosomal RNA". The record is from RNAcentral. Lineage: Eukaryota; Viridiplantae; Streptophyta; Magnoliopsida; Poales; Poaceae.